UUUCCGUAGGUGAACCUGCGGAAGGAUCAUUGUCGAAACCUGCCCAGCAGAACGACCCGCGAACACGUAUCAAUGCUACGGGGGCGAGGGGAGGCAUGCCCCCUCUCUCCCCCAAAGCCGGGACGCGCUCGGUGCUCGAUCCGCCAACCGUGCCCCGCGCGSGGGAAGCACCGGCACCGGCGUGCGCCCGGCAUCACAACGAACCCCGGCGCAAAUCGCGUCAAGGAAACGAAACGCAAGAGCUUGCUCCCAUCCCCCGGUCCCGGGUCGUGGUGGGGGCGAUGGCAUCUUCGAUAUUAUACUAAACGACUCUCGGCAACGGAUAUCUCGGCUCUCGCAUCGAUGAAGAACGUAGCGAAAUGCGAUACUUGGUGUGAAUUGCAGAAUCCCGUGAACCAUCGAGUCUUUGAACGCAAGUUGCGCCCAAAGCCAUUAGGCCGAGGGCACGUCUGCCUGGGCGUCACGUAUCGCGUCGCCACCCCAACCCCCGCCCACGCACGCCGUGAUGCGGGGCGUCCUGUGGGGGCGGAUAUUGGCCUCCCGUGCACUCCGGCGCGGUUGGCCUAAAAGCGAGCCCCGGGCGACAGAACGUCACGAUAAGUGGUGGUUGAUAAGCCCCGGCCCUUCAAGUGUCAUGUCGUGCGUUGCCCUGUCGCCCGUUGGAGCUACCGAGACCCCGAUGCGUCGUCCCGACGAUGCUUCCAUCGCGACCCCAGGGUCAAGCGGGACUACCCGCUGAGUUUAAGCAUAUC
RNAcentral lists this unclassified non-coding RNA (752 nucleotides) under Distyliopsis yunnanensis. RNAcentral describes it as "partial contains small subunit ribosomal RNA, internal transcribed spacer 1, 5.8S ribosomal RNA, internal transcribed spacer 2, and large subunit ribosomal RNA". The record is from RNAcentral. Lineage: Eukaryota; Viridiplantae; Streptophyta; Magnoliopsida; Saxifragales; Hamamelidaceae.